CGGGGAAUAUUGCGCAAUGGGGGAAACCCUGACGCAGCAACGCCGCGUGGGUGAAGAAGGCCUUCGGGUUGUAAAGCCCUUUCGGCCGGGAAGAAGGGUGACAUUGCUAACAUCGAUGUCAUUUGAUGGUACCGGAGGAAGAAGCACCGGCUAACUUCGUGCCAGCAGCCGCGGUAAUACGAAGGGUGCAAGCGUUGUUCGGAAUUAUUGGGCGUAAAGGGUUCGUAGGCGGGAGAGCGAGUUGAGUGUGAAAACCCUGGGCUUAACCUAGGACGUGCAUUCAAGACUGUUUUUCUUGAGUAUGGGAGAGGGUGGUGGAAUUGCUGGUGUAGGAGUGACAUCCGUAGAGAUCAGCAGGAACGCCGGAGGCGAAAGCGACCACCUGGCCCGUAACUGACGCUGAGGAACGAAAGCGUGGGGAGCAAACAGG
This 430-nucleotide ribosomal RNA is filed under the name uncultured bacterium. Its description in RNAcentral is "bacterial SSU rRNA". It matches the Rfam family "Bacterial small subunit ribosomal RNA", at positions 355 to 776 of the family's 1533-position model. The record is from RNAcentral.